Nomascus leucogenys (northern white-cheeked gibbon) is the source of this 1015-nucleotide RNA transcript. It is a transcript of the gene named kinesin-like protein KIF1A, with no coding region annotated. NCBI's taxonomy places the organism in Eukaryota, Metazoa, Chordata, Mammalia, Primates, Hylobatidae. The record is from RefSeq and is a predicted model, not a curated record. The transcript is spliced from 7 exons.
GAGUGGAGAAGACCUGUGGCUUCAGCUGCAGCUGGAGUGCCUGUCCUGCCUCCUCGGAUAUUGUUUCUAAUUCAUGUUUCCCUUUUUUCCAAGGUGUUCUCCCCACACUGGGGCUCCCACUACUGCAAGGAGUGACCCACGAAGGCCACAGAGAUGGCUGGGGCUUCGGUGAAGGUGGCGGUGCGGGUCCGCCCCUUCAAUUCCGGGAAAUGAGCCGUGACUCCAAGUGCAUCAUUCAGAUGUCUGGAAGCACCACCACCAUCGUUAACCCCAAACAGCCCAAGGAGACACCCAAAAGCUUCAGCUUUGACUACUCCUACUGGUCGCACACGUCGCCCGAGGACAUCAACUACGCGUCGCAGAAGCAGGUGUACCGGGACAUCGGCGAGGAGAUGCUGCAGCAUGCCUUUGAGGGCUACAACGUGUGCAUCUUCGCCUACGGGCAGACGGGUGCCGGCAAAUCCUACACCAUGAUGGGCAAGCAGGAGAAGGACCAGCAGGGCAUCAUCCCACAGCUCUGCGAGGACCUCUUCUCUCGGAUCAACGACACGACCAAUGACAACAUGUCCUACUCCGUGGAGGUCAGCUACAUGGAGAUUUACUGUGAGCGCGUCCGUGACCUCCUGAACCCCAAGAACAAGGGCAACCUUCGCGUGAGGGAGCACCCACUGCUGGGGCCCUACGUGGAGGACCUCUCCAAGCUGGCUGUCACCUCCUACAAUGACAUCCAGGACCUCAUGGACUCAGGGAACAAGGCCAGGACCGUGGCGGCCACCAACAUGAAUGAGACCAGCAGCCGCUCCCAUGCCGUCUUCAACAUCAUCUUCACCCAGAAGCGCCAUGAUGCAGAGACCAACAUCACCACGGAGAAGGUGAGCAAAAUCAGCCUGGUGGACCUGGCUGGGAGUGAGCGGGCCGACUCCACAGGAGCCAAGGGCACGCGCCUCAAGGUAGGGGCCAGGCCGCCAUGCGGGGACUGCAAUGGGCCCCGUGUCCACACCUGGCCUGCUCCAGG